Molecule: ribosomal RNA, 406 nt
Filed under: uncultured bacterium
Lineage: Bacteria
Description: bacterial SSU rRNA
Rfam family: Bacterial small subunit ribosomal RNA
Source: RNAcentral
GGGAGAGCAGCAGCGGACGGGUGAGUAAAGCACAAGGACCUUGUCCCGGAAGAGGGGGACAACUGUGGGAAACCACAGCUAAUACCCCAUAAGCCGAGAGGUGAAAGCAGUAAUGCGCUUUAGGAGAGACUUGUGUCCUAUCAGGUAGUUGGUGAGGUAACGGCUCACCAAGCCGAAGACGGGUAGCCGGACUGAGAGGUUGUACGGCCACAUUGGAACUGAGAGACGGUCCAGACUCCUACGGGAGGCAGCAGUGGGGAAUAUUGGGCAAUGGGGGCAAACCCCCUGACCCAGCGACGCCGCGUGAGGGAAGACAGCCUUCGGGUUGUAAACCUCUGUUGCAGGGGAAGAAGAAAGUGACGGUACCCUGCGAGGAAGCUCCGGCAAACUACGUGCCAGCCGCGGC